Molecule: ribosomal RNA, 282 nt
Filed under: uncultured bacterium
Lineage: Bacteria
Description: partial 16S ribosomal RNA
Rfam family: Bacterial small subunit ribosomal RNA
Source: RNAcentral
AUUUAUCCGCUUUAGGAGUGGCCCGCGUACGAUUAGAUUGUUGGUGAGUAACGGCUCACCAAGUCGACGGAUCGUUAACUGGUCUGAGAGGAUGAUCAGUCAGACUGGAACUGAGACACGGUCCAGACUCCUACGGGAGGGCAGCAGUAAGGAAUCUUCCACAAUGGGCGAAAGCCUGAUGGAGCAACGCCGCGUGCAGGAUGAAGGCCCUCGGGUCGUAAACUACUUUUAUGAGUGAAGAAUAUGACGGUAACUCAUGAAUAAGCACCGGCUAACUACGUG